Molecule: long non-coding RNA, 608 nt
Organism: Gasterosteus aculeatus aculeatus (three-spined stickleback)
Lineage: Eukaryota; Metazoa; Chordata; Actinopteri; Perciformes; Gasterosteidae
Source: Ensembl
CUCGCCACCAAGUCGAUUCAUCUGGCUGGAGACUAAUUAAAAGGUAAAUACUAAAAGGAGAUGAUGAUCAGCACACAUGCACACUCUCACACACACACACACAUGCAGUGGGACACACUCUCACACACACGUGCAGUGGGACACACUCUCACACACACACGCAAUGGGACACACUCUCACACACACACGCAAUGGGACACACUCUCACACACACGUGCAGUGGGACACACUCUCACACACACACGCAGUGGGACACACUCUCACACACACACGCAAUGGGACACACUCUCACACACACAUGUAGUGGGACACACUCUCACACACACAUGCAGUGGGACACUCUCACACACAUGCAGUGGGACACUCUCACACACAUGCAGUGGGACACACUCUCACACACAUGCAGUGGGACACACACACACGUGCAGUGGGACACACUCUCACACACACGUGCAGUGGGACACACUCUCACACACACGUGCAAUAGGAGACACACACACACAAACACGUGCAGUGGGACACACUCUCACACACACAUGCAAUAGGAGACACACACACACAAACAGUGGGACACACGCAGGAAGCUGCUGAUUGGCUCAGAGUCUGUC